AUGCUGCGUUACCUAUCACUUGUUUACCAUGCCUCCCAUAUUGCCAUGUCAGCCUCUAACUUUUCGCCCUUCCUAGCAAACCAUUGCUUGGCUAUGUUACUGCUUUGCUCAGCCCCUCUUAUAGCGUUGUUAGUUGUAGGUGAAGUUGAAGAUUGCUCCAUGAUGGAUAGGAUUAUGUUGGGAUAUCACAAUAUCUCUUAUUUAAUUAAUGCAUCUAUAUACUUGGUAAAGGGUGGAAGGCUCGGUCUUAUGCCUGGUGUUUUGUUCCACUCUUGCCGCUCUAGUUUCCGUCAUACCGGUGUUAUGUUACUUGAUUUUGCGUUCCUUACGCGGUUGGGUGAUUUAUGGGACCCCCUUGACAGUUCGCUUUGA
This 372-nucleotide ribosomal RNA is filed under the name Triticum aestivum (bread wheat). RNAcentral's name for it is "partial small subunit ribosomal RNA". The record is from RNAcentral. Lineage: Eukaryota; Viridiplantae; Streptophyta; Magnoliopsida; Poales; Poaceae.